RNAcentral lists this ribosomal RNA (465 nucleotides) under uncultured bacterium. RNAcentral's name for it is "partial 16S ribosomal RNA". It matches the Rfam family "Bacterial small subunit ribosomal RNA", at positions 338 to 795 of the family's 1533-position model. The record is from RNAcentral.
CCUACGGGAGGCAGCAGUGGGGAAUAUUGCGCAAUGGGCGAAAGCCUGACGCAGCGACGCCGCGUGAGGGAUGAAGGUCUUCGGAUCGUAAACCUCUUUCAGCAGGGAAGAACGGUCACUGUGCUAAUCAGCAGUGAAUUGACGGUACCUGCAAAGGAAGCACCGGCUAACUCCGUGCCAGCAGCCGCGGUAAUACGGAGGGUGCGAGCGUUAAUCGGAAUUACUGGGUGUAAAGCGCGCGUAGUCGGUAUGUAAAGUCAAGGGUGAAGUCCCCGCGCUCAACGUGUGAACUGCCUUUGAAACGGGCAAACUGGAGUGUGUGAGAGGAUAGUGGAAUUCCAGGUGUAGGAGUGAAAUCCGUAGAUAUCUGGAGGAACAUCAGUGGCGAAGGCGACUAUCUGGCACAUAACUGACGCUGAGGAGCGAAAGCGUGGGUAGCAAACAGGAUUAGAUACCCGAGUAGUC